Molecule: ribosomal RNA, 767 nt
Filed under: Arthrobacter alpinus
Lineage: Bacteria; Bacillati; Actinomycetota; Actinomycetes; Micrococcales; Micrococcaceae
Description: bacterial SSU rRNA
Rfam family: Bacterial small subunit ribosomal RNA
Source: RNAcentral
GGUGCUUGCACUGGGGAUUAGUGGCGAACGGGUGAGUAACACGUGAGUAACCUGCCCUUAACUCUGGGAUAAGCCUUGGAAACGAGGUCUAAUACUGGAUAUUGACUUUUCCUCGCAUGGGGAUUGGUUGAAAGAUUUAUUGGUUUUGGAUGGACUCGCGGCCUAUCAGCUUGUUGGUGAGGUAAUGGCUCACCAAGGCGACGACGGGUAGCCGGCCUGAGAGGGUGACCGGCCACACUGGGACUGAGACACGGCCCAGACUCCUACGGGAGGCAGCAGUGGGGAAUAUUGCACAAUGGGCGAAAGCCUGAUGCAGCGACGCCGCGUGAGGGAUGACGGCCUUCGGGUUGUAAACCUCUUUCAGUAGGGAACAAGGCCAGACGUUGUCUGGUUGAGGGUACUUGCAGAAGAAGCGCCGGCUAACUACGUGCCAGCAGCCGCGGUAAUACGUAGGGCGCAAGCGUUAUCCGGAAUUAUUGGGCGUAAAGAGCUCGUAGGCGGUUUGUCGCGUCUGCCGUGAAAGUCCGGGGCUCAACUCCGGAUCUGCGGUGGGUACGGGCAGACUAGAGUGAUGUAGGGGAGACUGGAAUUCCUGGUGUAGCGGUGAAAUGCGCAGAUAUCAGGAGGAACACCGAUGGCGAAGGCAGGUCUCUGGGCAUUAACUGACGCUGAGGAGCGAAAGCAUGGGGAGCGAACAGGAUUAGAUACCCUGGUAGUCCAUGCCGUAAACGUUGGGCACUAGGUGUGGGGGACAUUCCACGUUUUCC